RNAcentral lists this microRNA precursor (52 nucleotides) under Marmota monax (woodchuck). Lineage: Eukaryota; Metazoa; Chordata; Mammalia; Rodentia; Sciuridae. The record is from RNAcentral.
AUUUUAGUGUAAGCAUAUCCCAUGUCGCAUUUGGGGCAUACUUACACUAAUA